AGGAUAUUGUUAAAAAACAUGUUAAUUUAAAGGAAACUGUUCAUCCUAUGAUAGAUUAGGCAUGGACUAUUAUAGAUGUCCAUGCUUUAUUUUACAUACUGCUUGGGAUGUGUUACAUACAUUACGCACAUGCAUAUCAUGGAUGUCCACCGUGUCCUCCACCUCCGUGUCCGCCUCCACCUCCAGGUCUUCCUCCUCCGCCAGGUCUUCCUCCGUCUCCGCCAGGUCCGCCGUCGUGUGGUCCGCCAGGUCCGCCGUCGUGUGGUCCGCCAGGUCCGCCGUCACGUGGUCCGCCAGGUCCACCGUCACGUGGUCCGCCAGGUCCACCGUCAUGUGGUCCGCCUCCUCCCGAACCAUCUACACCAACUGCAUAUACACAAACAUGGUUAAAUAUUGUUAUGAUUAAUAUAAUUUAAUGAAGAUAUAUUAUUAAUAUAUAGAAUAAUUUUACACUAGGUAAGUUCAUUUUAUAAUAGCAAUUUAAAAAUAACUAUAGCAACAAUGUAUCAAUGUAAAAUUGAUUUAAAAUUAGUUAUCAAUAUUUUUUCUCUCUCAAAACUUUAGUAUCUACUAUAAGUAGAUAAAAUACACCACUAUCUAUAAGAGUA
Molecule: long non-coding RNA, 608 nt
Filed under: Cicer arietinum (chickpea)
Lineage: Eukaryota; Viridiplantae; Streptophyta; Magnoliopsida; Fabales; Fabaceae
Description: long non-coding RNA (CARI_LNC000576)
Source: RNAcentral